UACAGAGGCCUCGAGCGUUAGGCGGAAUCACUGGGCUUAAAGCGUGUGUAGGUGGAUGCCUAAGUACCUUGUGAAAUCCCACGGCUUAACCGUGGAAUUGCUGGGUAUACUGGGUGUCUUGAGCCACUCAGGGGCUACCGGAACAAACGGUGGAGCGGUGAAAUGCGUAGAUAUCGUUUGGAACGCCUAAGGUGAAAACAGGUAGCUGGGGGUGUGCUGACACUGAGACACGAAAGCCAGGGGAGCGAACGGG
RNAcentral lists this ribosomal RNA (253 nucleotides) under uncultured bacterium. Its description in RNAcentral is "partial 16S ribosomal RNA". It matches the Rfam family "Bacterial small subunit ribosomal RNA", at positions 524 to 776 of the family's 1533-position model. The record is from RNAcentral.